Molecule: long non-coding RNA, 1797 nt
Organism: Branchiostoma floridae (Florida lancelet)
Lineage: Eukaryota; Metazoa; Chordata; Leptocardii; Amphioxiformes; Branchiostomatidae
Exons: 2
Source: RefSeq, a predicted model, not a curated record
CUUGGACAGGCGCGAUGCGUCAUGGGAAUGAGCGGUCCAAGAUCCAAGAUGGCGGCCUCCACAGAUUAUCGGAUCGGACGAGAUUACACACGAACACGCCUGGAAACGUUCGAAACGUACCUUUCCAAACGUAUUCAUUCCACGUAACCCGUUCUACAGGUGCUGAUGACACUCAACCCAGGAAGGCCAUCAGUGCACAUGAGAUGACAGCAGAUGAGAAGCUGAUUAUGCAAUGGAUUACCUGCUUCUACCUGCAGAUGGCAGAGUUAUAAUGAACACUAACCAAGUCCCAAUUUCUUUAAUAUGCAUAAACAAUGAGUCUGUAAAAAGAUAAACAGCAAGUAGAACUAGAAGCGUGCCUUUCUGUGAUGCACUGUGGUACUAUGGCAUUUAUUAUGACUCAGAUUUAGAUGCUUUGAAAUCAUAGCUCUUUGGACUGUAGAUGUAAUUGUCAUGUUGAAGCUAAUAUGUAGCAUGCAGUAUCCUAGAUGCAAUGUUGUGAGGAGCCAUUUUGCAUAUCCAUAUCUACAAAUAUCUUGCAAUUAUAUACUUCAGGACUAUAUGUAUGCUGUCAGUAACUGUAAGUCCCUGAGGCAUGACUGAUUGACCAAGGAAGCAGAGCACUUUCUGAUGUUCGAAUUCUGUGUUUUAUCAAAACUCCAUUGAACAGGUAGCUAUGGAGAGGGGUGAAUUAAUUGUGUGUUUAAGAUACUCUCCAGGAAAUGUUUAGGUAUAUAAUGUUGAGCAAUUCCUGAUGAAAUGAUUCUUUAAAAAAAAACAGUACAUUUCAUGCUGUAAGUGUAGAGCUUUUCACCCUACAUUGUACACACAUGUAUGAGAUCAUUGUCAAUGUGAUGGGAUCUGGUGUGUAUCCUGCUAUGCAAUGCUGACUUAAAGUGUUAAUGACACCAAUGAUAGCAAUGUAGCAACAUUUUGGUGAUUGUAAUCCAUUGAGAUAGAAUUACUAAUUGAAAAUAGAACUUUGCACUAAAAUAAACCCUCCUGGUGUUAUUGAAUAUAAAACCAAUUGAAGAUCAUACUUCCAGCUCUUGUUUCCAGGUUGUCACCAGGUAAUUGAAUUAAACAUUGAUUGUAGCUGCACUGGCUGCGGACCGUCAGUUGUGGAUGAAACUUGUGAUCAAGUGCUCUGCCACCGACUGAUGAUGAGGAUGAUGAUGUUGAGGACUACAAUGAUUCUUAACUUGCCACUGUGGCUUGCGAAAAAAAUAAUUUUGGGAAGCAAACUAAGCAAAUAUUUUUGUAUCUUGCAAGUAUGUGUUAUCUCCUUAAACUAAGCACAGUGUGCUCAUCAACAGUACUUUUUAGCAACACUCGAUGUCUUGUUCUGAACCGGCCGCAGUGUUCAAUGAGAUGUCAUUGAAGUAAUAAUCAAUGCUCAAUUCAAUUACCUGGUGGCAGGAAACAAGAGCUGAAGUAUGAUCUUUGACAGGGUUUGAUGUUCUAUAACAUCAUACGACUAGUCGACUGUAACUUUGGUCUGUGUUCAUACAAGAAUACUAUUACCGGCAAAGUUAGUAAUAAUCUGAAUCAUUAUUGCUUUACCUGUCCAUGUCUGUACGAUACAUAACGGUAAUUCAUGAAUUUUCCUUAUUUGCAUGCAUAUACAAAAAUAAGUGCCAACACAGGACAACAUCCAGUUGUGCAUUGUAUAUAAAGGUAUGAACAAGUUGGCCUCUAUUUUGCUGGUAGACAGUUAUUGAUCUAGAUCCUUUUUGUCAAGCUUUAUUUUGCUGCAGUCAAAUCGUCAAGAAAUAAACAGUGGUCUUUGGGAAAAAA